This 476-nucleotide ribosomal RNA is filed under the name uncultured organism. RNAcentral describes it as "partial 16S ribosomal RNA". It matches the Rfam family "Bacterial small subunit ribosomal RNA", at positions 334 to 801 of the family's 1533-position model. The record is from RNAcentral.
CACUCCUACGGGAGGCAGCAGUGGGGAAUUUUGGACAAUGGGCGAAAGCCUGAUCCAGCAAUGCCGCGUGCAGGAUGAAGGCCUUCGGGUUGUAAACUGCUUUUGUACGGAACGAAAAAGCUCCUUCUAAUACAGGGGGCCCAUGACGGUACCGUAAGAAUAAGCACCGGCUAACUACGUGCCAGCAGCCGCGGUAAUACGUAGGGUGCGAGCGUUAAUCGGAAUUACUGGGCGUAAAGCGUGCGCAGGCGGUUAUGUAAGACAGAUGUGAAAUCCCCGGGCUCAACCUGGGAACUGCAUUUGUGACUGCAUGGCUAGAGUACGGUAGAGGGGGAUGGAAUUCCGCGUGUAGCAGUGAAAUGCGUAGAUAUGCGGAGGAACACCGAUGGCGAAGGCAAUCCCCUGGACCUGUACUGACGCUCAUGCACGAAAGCGUGGGGAGCAAACAGGAUUAGAAACCCCUGUAGUCCCAUGAU